This is a non-coding RNA of Polypterus senegalus (gray bichir), 449 nucleotides long. Lineage: Eukaryota; Metazoa; Chordata; Cladistia; Polypteriformes; Polypteridae. The record is from the annotation of a RefSeq genome assembly.
AAGUGACAAUGUCGCCUCUUGUGCCACUCCUCUGCAUCUUUGUCUUCUUCACUCAUGACUGCAAUGGAGAGAUAUCUGUGACCCAAACACCAAAAGCUAAAUCAACAAGGCCAGGAGAAGAUGUUACUAUUAAUUGUAAAACAAGUAAAUCAGUAUACUCUUCCAGUAAUGGUUUUAACUGGUUGUCCUGGUUCCACCAGAGACCCAAUGAGGCUCCUAAACUGAUUAUCUAUUUAGCAAGCAAUCUUCAGUCAGGGAUUCCAAAUCGCUUCAGUGGUAGUGGAUCAGGGACUGACUUCACUCUGACCAUCCGUGGAGCUCAACCUGAAGAUGCAGGACAUUAUUACUGUCAGCAGGGAGUGGAGCGCCCUCACACAGUGACAGAUACCCGUACAAAAACCUGCCCUGCUCAGUGGCACAUGUGCAGCCAGCCUUACCACAGAUUCUAA